Molecule: ribosomal RNA, 439 nt
Filed under: Paenibacillus sp.
Lineage: Bacteria; Bacillati; Bacillota; Bacilli; Caryophanales; Paenibacillaceae
Description: bacterial SSU rRNA
Rfam family: Bacterial small subunit ribosomal RNA
Source: RNAcentral
CUACUCCUACGGGGAGGCAGCAGUAGGGAAUCUUCCGCAAUGGGCGAAAGCCUGACGGAGCAAUGCCGCGUGAGUGAUGAAGGUUUUCGGAUCGUAAAGCUCUGUUGCCAGGGAAGAACGCUUGGGAGAGUAACUGCUCUCAAGGUGACGGUACCUGAGAAGAAAGCCCCGGCUAACUACGUGCCAGCAGCCGCGGUAAUACGUAGGGGGCAAGCGUUGUCCGGAAUUAUUGGGCGUAAAGCGCGCGCAGGCGGUCAUUUAAGUCUGGUGUUUAAUCCCGGGGCUCAACCCCGGAUCGCACUGGAAACUGGGUGACUUGAGUGCAGAAGAGGAGAGUGGAAUUCCACGUGUAGCGGUGAAAUGCGUAGAUAUGUGGAGGAACACCAGUGGCGAAGGCGACUCUCUGGGCUGUAACUGACGCUGAGCGCGUGGCUGCUUG